GGAAGAGGAGACCCAGAGUAUCACACUGAUCACAGUCAACCAAAGUUUGUCUGGUCUGCAGAUGUUCAUUCAGCAGCGUCUCUCACAGUGAGUCCUGACAGCGUGCAACACUUCAUCUCUGACUAUGUCUCACUGACCUGUGAGGGAAACUCCACUGAGUGGAGA
Oreochromis niloticus (Nile tilapia) is the source of this 165-nucleotide long non-coding RNA. RefSeq lists it as uncharacterized. Lineage: Eukaryota; Metazoa; Chordata; Actinopteri; Cichliformes; Cichlidae. The record is from RefSeq and is a predicted model, not a curated record. The transcript has 2 exons.